UUCGGUGGGGAUUAGUGGCGAACGGGUGAGUAACACGUGGGCAAUCUGCCCUGCACUCUGGGACAAGCCCUGGAAACGGGGUCUAAUACCGGAUACAACCACUGACCGCAUGGUCGGGUGGUGGAAAGCUCCGGCGGUGCAGGAUGAGCCCGCGGCCUAUCAGCUUGUUGGUGAGGUAACGGCUCACCAAGGCGACGACGGGUAGCCGGCCUGAGAGGGCGACCGGCCACACUGGGACUGAGACACGGCCCAGACUCCUACGGGAGGCAGCAGUGGGGAAUAUUGCACAAUGGGCGAAAGCCUGAUGCAGCGACGCCGCGUGAGGGAUGACGGCCUUCGGGUUGUAAACCUCUUUCAGCAGGGAAGAAGCGAGAGUGACGGUACCUGCAGAAGAAGCGCCGGCUAACUACGUGCCAGCAGCCGCGGUAAUACGUAGGGCGCAAGCGUUGUCCGGAAUUAUUGGGCGUAAAGAGCUCGUAGGCGGCUUGUCACGUCGG
Molecule: ribosomal RNA, 497 nt
Filed under: Streptomyces griseoaurantiacus
Lineage: Bacteria; Bacillati; Actinomycetota; Actinomycetes; Kitasatosporales; Streptomycetaceae
Description: bacterial SSU rRNA
Rfam family: Bacterial small subunit ribosomal RNA
Source: RNAcentral